RNAcentral lists this ribosomal RNA (504 nucleotides) under uncultured bacterium. RNAcentral's name for it is "partial 16S ribosomal RNA". It matches the Rfam family "Bacterial small subunit ribosomal RNA", at positions 29 to 523 of the family's 1533-position model. The record is from RNAcentral.
AGUGAACGCUGGCGGUAGGCCUAACACAUGCAAGUCGAACGGCAGCACAGGAGAGCUUGCUCUCUGGGUGGCGAGUGGCGGACGGGUGAGGAAUACAUCGGAAUCUACUCUGUCGUGGGGGAUAACGUAGGGAAACUUACGCUAUACCGCAUACGACCUACGGGUGAAAGCAGGGGACCUUCGGGCCUUGCGCGAUUGAAUGAGCCGAUGUCGGAUUAGCUAGUUGGCGGGGUAAGGCCCACCAAGGCGAAGAUCCGUAGCUGGUCUGAGAGGAUGAUAAGCCACACUGGAACUGAGACACGGGCCAGACUGCUACGGGAGGGAGCAGUGGGGAAUAUUGGACAAUGGGCGCAAGCCUGAUCCAGCCAUACCGCGUGGGUGAAGAAGGCCUUCGGGUUGUAAAGCCCUUUUGUUGGGAAAGAAAUCCAGCUGGCUAAUACCCGGUUGGGAUGACGGUACCCAAAGAAUAAGCACCGGCUAACUUCGUGCCAGCCGCCGCGGUAA